UACGUAGGGUGCGAGCGUUAAUCGGAAUUACUGGGCGUAAAGCGUGCGCAGGCGGUCUGUUAAGACAGAUGUGAAAUCCCCGGGCUUAACCUGGGAACUGCAUUUGUGACUGGCAGGCUAGAGUAUGGCAGAGGGGGGUAGAAUUCCACGUGUAGCAGUGAAAUGCGUAGAGAUGUGGAGGAAUGCCGAUGGCGAAGGCAGCCCCCUGGGCCAAUACUGACGCUCAUGCACGAAAGCGUGGGGAGCAAACAGG
This 253-nucleotide ribosomal RNA is filed under the name uncultured bacterium. Its description in RNAcentral is "partial 16S ribosomal RNA". It matches the Rfam family "Bacterial small subunit ribosomal RNA", at positions 524 to 776 of the family's 1533-position model. The record is from RNAcentral.